RNAcentral lists this ribosomal RNA (472 nucleotides) under uncultured bacterium. RNAcentral describes it as "bacterial SSU rRNA". It matches the Rfam family "Bacterial small subunit ribosomal RNA", at positions 355 to 825 of the family's 1533-position model. The record is from RNAcentral.
UGAGGAAUAUUGGACAAUGGGCGCAGGCCUGAUCCAGCAAUGCCGCGUGCAGGAAGAAGGCCUUCGGGUUGUAAACUGCUUUUGUACGGAACGAAACGGUCCUGGUUAAUACCUGGGGCUAAUGACGGUACCGUAAGAAUAAGCACCGGCUAACUACGUGCCAGCAGCCGCGGUAAUACGUAGGGUGCGAGCGUUAAUCGGAAUUACUGGGCGUAAAGCGUGCGCAGGCGGUUUUGUAAGACAGGCGUGAAAUCCCCGGGCUCAACCUGGGAAUGGCGCUUGUGACUGCAAAGCUGGAGUGCGGCAGAGGGGGAUGGAAUUCCGCGUGUAGCAGUGAAAUGCGUAGAUAUGCGGAGGAACACCGAUGGCGAAGGCAAUCCCCUGGGCCUGCACUGACGCUCAUGCACGAAAGCGUGGGGAGCAAACAGGAUUAGAUACCCACGUAGUCCCUGAGCGGGCUGGCAAGGCGCAU